AGGACGAACGCUGGCGGCGUGCUUAACACAUGCAAGUCGAGCGGUAAGGCCUUUCGGGGUACACGAGCGGCGAACGGGUGAGUAACACGUGGGUGAUCUGCCCUGCACUUCGGGAUAAGCCUGGGAAACUGGGUCUAAUACCGGAUAUGACCUCCGAUCGCAUGGUUGGUGGUGGAAAGAUUUAUCGGUGCAGGAUGGGCCCGCGGCCUAUCAGCUUGUUGGUGGGGUAAUGGCCUACCAAGGCGACGACGGGUAGCCGACCUGAGAGGGUGACCGGCCACACUGGGACUGAGACACGGCCCAGACUCCUACGGGAGGCAACAGUGGGGAAUAUUGCACAAUGGGCGAAAGCCUGAUGCAGCGACGCCGCGUGAGGGAUGACGGCCUUCGGGUUGUAAACCUCUUUCAGCAGGACGAAGCGCAAGUGACGGUACCUGCAGAAGAAGCACCGGCUAACUACGUGCCAGCAGCCGC
RNAcentral lists this ribosomal RNA (474 nucleotides) under uncultured soil bacterium. RNAcentral's name for it is "bacterial SSU rRNA". It matches the Rfam family "Bacterial small subunit ribosomal RNA", at positions 26 to 518 of the family's 1533-position model. The record is from RNAcentral.